Molecule: ribosomal RNA, 468 nt
Filed under: uncultured bacterium
Lineage: Bacteria
Description: partial 16S ribosomal RNA
Rfam family: Bacterial small subunit ribosomal RNA
Source: RNAcentral
GACGAGCGCUGGCGGCGUGCUUAACACAUGCAAGUCGAACGGAAAGGCCCUGCUUUUGUGGGGUGCUCGAGUGGCGAACGGGUGAGUAACACGUGAGUAACCUGCCCUUGACUUUGGGAUAACUUCAGGAAACUGGGGCUAAUACCGGAUAGGAGCUCCUGCUGCAUGGUGGGGGUUGGAAAGUUUCGGCGGUUGGGGAUGGACUCGCGGCUUAUCAGCUUGUUGGUGGGGUAGUGGCUUACCAAGGCUUUGACGGGUAGCCGGCCUGAGAGGGUGACCGGCCACAUUGGGACUGAGAUACGGCCCAGACUCCUACGGGAGGCAGCAGUGGGGAAUAUUGCACAAUGGGCGGAAGCCUGAUGCAGCAACGCCGCGUGCGGGAUGAGGGCCUUCGGGUUGUAAACCGCUUUCGCCUGUGACGAAGCGUGAGUGACGGUAAUGGGUAAAGAAGCACCGGCUAACUACGUG